GGUUCGAUCCUGGCUCAGAUUGAACGCUGGCGGGAUGCUUUACACAUGCAAGCCGAACGGCAGCACGGACUUCGGUCUGGUGGCGAGUGGCGUGAACGAAGCAGUAAUGUAUCGGAACGUGCCUAGUAGCGGGGGAUAACUACGCUAUAAAGCGUAGCUAAUACCGCAUACGCCCUCGGGGGAAAGCGGGGACCUUCGGGCCUGCACUAUUAGGAGCGGCUGAUAUCGGAUUAGCUAGUUGGUGGGGUAAACGGUCACCAAGGCGACGAUCCGUAGCUAUUUUGAGAGGACGACCAGCCACACUGGGACUGGAGACACGGCCCAGACUCCUACGGAGGCAGCAGUGGGGAAUUCUUGAUUGAAUGGGAAACUCUUGAUCCAGCCAUCCGCGUGUGCGAUGAAGGCCUCGGGUUGUAAAGCACUUUUUGGCAGGAAAGAAAACGGCACGGGAUAAUACCCCGUGCAACUGACGGUACUUGCAGAAUAAGCACCGGCUAACCACAAAGCCAGCAGCUGCGGUAAUACGCCGUAGGGUGCAAGCGUUAACGGAAUUACUGGGCGUAAAGCGUGCGCAGGCGGUUCGGAAAGAAAGAUGUGAAAUCCCAGAGCUUAACUUUGGAACUGCAUUUUUAACUACUGAGCUAGAGUGUGUCAGAGGGAGGUGAAUUCAUGUGUAGGGCAGUGAAAUGCGUAGAUAUGGAGGAACACCGAUGGUGAAGGCAGCCUCAGAUAACACUGAUAGCUCAUGCACGAAAGCGUGGGGAGCAAACAGGAUUAGAUACCCCGGUAGUCCACGCCCUAAACGAUGUCAACUAGCUGUUGGGCCUUGGCCUCUGGUAGCGCAGCUAACGCGUGAAGUUGACUGCCUGGGGAGUACGGUCGCAAGAUUAAAAACUCAAAGCGAAUUGACGGGGACCCGCACAAGCGUGACGAUGGGAUUAACUGACGCAACGCGAAAAAACUCACCUACCCUUGACAUGUCUGGAAUCCCGAAGAGACGGGAGUGCUCGCAAGAGAACCGGAACACAGGUGCUGCAUGGCUGUCGUCAGGUCGCAGUUCGAGGACGUUGAAGAAACCAACGAGCGCAACCCUGUCAUUAGUUGCUACGAAAGGGCACUCUAAUGACUGCUGGUGACAAACUGGAGGAAGGUGGGGAUGACGUCAAGUCCUCAUGGCCCUUGCGGUAGGGCUUCACACGUCAUACAAUGGUCGUGACAGAGGGUCGCCAACCGCGAGGGGGAGCUAAUCCCAGAAACCCGAUCAGUCCGGAUCGCAGUUCGCACCGACUGCGUGAAGUCGAAUCGCCAGUAAUCGCGAUCAGCAUGUCGCGGUGAAUACGUUCCCGGGUCUUGUACACACCGCCCGUCACACCAUGGGAGGAAUACCAGAUGCAGUUAGCCUAACCGUAAGGAGGGCGAUUACCACGGUAGGAUUCAUGAUCAGUGAAGUCGCAGCGUAA
This 1460-nucleotide ribosomal RNA is filed under the name uncultured Bordetella sp. RNAcentral describes it as "partial 16S-23S ribosomal RNA intergenic spacer". It matches the Rfam family "Bacterial small subunit ribosomal RNA". Lineage: Bacteria; Pseudomonadati; Pseudomonadota; Betaproteobacteria; Burkholderiales; Alcaligenaceae. The record is from RNAcentral.